Molecule: ribosomal RNA, 400 nt
Filed under: uncultured archaeon
Lineage: Archaea
Description: bacterial SSU rRNA
Rfam family: Archaeal small subunit ribosomal RNA
Source: RNAcentral
UUCUGGUUGAUCCCGCCGGAGGUCACUGCUAUUGGGAUUCGACUAAGCCAUGCGAGUCGAGAGGGUUCGGCCCUCGGCUGACGGCUCAGUAACACGUGGAUAAUCUACCCUAAGGUGGAGGAUAACCUCGGGAAACUGAGAAUAAUACUCCAUAAGUCCAGGAUACUGGAAUGUACUUAGGCUGAAAACUUCGGUGCCUUAGGAUGAGUCUGCGGACUAUCAGGUUGUAGUCAGGGUAAAGACCUGACUAGCCUACAACGGAUACGGGUUGUGAGAGCAAUAACCNCGGAGAUGAUAUCUGAGACACGAUAUCAGGCCCUACGGGGCGCAGCAGGCGCGAAAACUUCACACUGCGCGAAAGCGCGAUGAGGGAAUCCCAAGUGCUUGCACGUAAGUGUAA